Molecule: small nuclear RNA, 293 nt
Filed under: Mus pahari (shrew mouse)
Lineage: Eukaryota; Metazoa; Chordata; Mammalia; Rodentia; Muridae
Description: sRNA (MGP_PahariEiJ_G0008064.1)
Rfam family: 7SK RNA
About the family: 7SK was discovered as an abundant small nuclear RNA in the mid-70s but a possible function has only recently been suggested. Two independent studies have found that 7SK RNA binds the CDK9/cyclin T complex (known as elongation factor P-TEFb).
Source: RNAcentral
AGGUAUGAGGACAAUUUGGCCCAGAACACGCCUCCUAGUGGGUCACUAAGGUGAGUGUGGCUGAUCCUGCUGGCUAGGCAAGCGUCGCCUUCCCUUCCUAUUUCAGCAUUCUGGGUGCUUCCUGCUUCCUGCUCUAGGUGGCCAACAUCCUGGAGAGAAAUAAGACCGUUCUUCAGCCAAGGGCAUGCGAGUAAGUACACUCCAGACUCUCAGAAGCAGCCUCAAGAGGAGCUUCCGGAAAGAGAGAGAAGCCCACGGAGGGGCUGUGUUGGAACCUCCACCCGUCAGCCCCC